This 496-nucleotide ribosomal RNA is filed under the name uncultured bacterium. RNAcentral describes it as "partial 16S ribosomal RNA". It matches the Rfam family "Bacterial small subunit ribosomal RNA", at positions 28 to 523 of the family's 1533-position model. The record is from RNAcentral.
GAUGAACGCUAGCGGCAGGCCUAACACAUGCAAGUCGAGGGGUAGAAGUUGCUUGCAACUUUGAGACCGGCGCACGGGUGCGUAACGCGUAUGCAAUCUAUCUUGUACAGGGGGAUAGCCCAGAGAAAUUUGGAUUAAUACCCCAUAGUGUAAUGAAAUCGCAUGGUUUUAUUACUAAAGUUCCAACGGUACAAGAUGAGCAUGCGUCCUAUUAGCUAGUUGGUGUGGUAACGGCACACCAAGGCAACGAUAGGUCGGGGUCCUGCGAGGGCGCUCCCCCACAUUGGUACUGAGACACGGACCAGACUCCUACGGGAGGCAGCAGUGAGGAAGAUUAGUCAAUGGGCGCAAGCCUGAACCAGCCAUGCCGCGUGCAGGAAGACGGUCCGAUGGAUUGUAAACUGCUUUUGUACGGGAAGAAACACUCCUACGUGUAGGAGCUUGACGGUACCGUAAGAAUAAGGAUCGGCUAACUCCGUGCCAGCCGCCGCGGUAA